AAAAGUAUAAAGUUUUAAGUCAUUUUUAUAACAUGCGCUCCUUCACGUGUUUGUUGUUUACGUUCCUCAUUCAAAGCGGUAGUAGAGUGGUCGGGCCCAUUCGGGCAAUAUAUACUUCUGAGCCUACAGUUAGCGAGUGGAUAAAAGUCACCUAAUUGAAGGGAAUAUAUUUACUGAAUUAAUGUUACCUCUGGAAAAAAUAUUAGACCACAAAAGGCUACAUAAAGUUCAGCUGUGGAACCGAAAGGCGGUUGAGAGUGCAUAAAACGGUUGGGACAUCACAAACCACUUCCUGGUGAUAAAUCACACCACCGACUGGAGAAAGUACGCGGCACUACUGUGCCAUUAAUGUCACGGUACCGGUGCUGCAACGGUACUAUGGAGGGGAGGACACCCGCCCGGACUUCAGGCUGGGCACAGACGCCAUGCAGCACCUGAUGGUGGUCCUGAAGACUGACAGGCAGCACGGGUGGGGGCCGACCCUGGAGACACUCGUGUUCCUGUUCUGGCUGGCCACCGGUUCAGCCUACUGAGUUGUCUCCAGGGUCUUCUGUAUGCCUCUACCUACGGUGCACAGUCACACUACAUCUUCUGUUUUUUUCAUAUCUCAACAAAGUCUUGUCUUCUUUUGCUCUUCCUUGUGCACAGGUGGUGACGGCGUGUGUAAUUUUACACAACAUUUGUGUUGGUGUUGGGGAUGAGCUGGAAGAGGCUGUGGAGGACGACGACAACCAGCUACCUCUGGAGCGCGAUGGUGGGGAGAGCCGGAGUGGAGCUGCUUGGCGAGCUGCGCUGACCAACGAGGUGUCUGCACUGCAUGAGGCACCUCUGGA
Long non-coding RNA from Esox lucius (northern pike), 833 nucleotides. NCBI's taxonomy places the organism in Eukaryota, Metazoa, Chordata, Actinopteri, Esociformes, Esocidae. The record is from Ensembl.